CGAAUGCUGACAUAAGUAACGAUAAAGCGGGUGAAAAGCCCGCUCGCCGGAAGACCAAGGGUUCCUGUCCAACGUUAAUCGGGGCAGGGUGAGUCGACCCCUAAGGCGAGGCCGAAAGGCGUAGUCGAUGGGAAACAGGUUAAUAUUCCUGUACUUGGUGUUACUGCGAAGGGGGGACGGAGAAGGCUAUGUUGGCCGGGCGACGGUUGUCCCGGUUUAAGCGUGUAGGCUGGUUUUCCAGGCAAAUCCGGAAAAUCAAGGCUGAGGCGUGAUGACGAGGCACUACGGUGCUGAAGCAACA
RNAcentral lists this ribosomal RNA (301 nucleotides) under Escherichia coli. RNAcentral describes it as "partial 23S ribosomal RNA". It matches the Rfam family "Bacterial large subunit ribosomal RNA", at positions 1291 to 1595 of the family's 2925-position model. Lineage: Bacteria; Pseudomonadati; Pseudomonadota; Gammaproteobacteria; Enterobacterales; Enterobacteriaceae. The record is from RNAcentral.